Molecule: non-coding RNA, 138 nt
Organism: Ornithorhynchus anatinus (platypus)
Lineage: Eukaryota; Metazoa; Chordata; Mammalia; Monotremata; Ornithorhynchidae
Source: Rfam
CCCCUCUCAGAAUGGCACCCGGAGAGUUUCCGGUACUCUACCAGUUUCGGCAAUGAGAGGGAGAGACAAGCAGAGGUAUAUCCAUUCCAUUCCUAGCUUGGGCAGUUCCUAGCCAGUGGAAGGCAAUCUGCUACAAAC